Molecule: ribosomal RNA, 253 nt
Filed under: uncultured bacterium
Lineage: Bacteria
Description: partial 16S ribosomal RNA
Rfam family: Bacterial small subunit ribosomal RNA
Source: RNAcentral
UACGGAGGGUGCGAGCGUUGUUCGGAAUCACUGGGCGUAAAGCGCGUGUAGGCGGCCUUGUAAGUCUGGUGUGAAAGCCCGGGGCUUACCCCCGGAAGUGCACUGGAAACUGUGGGGCUGGAGUACCGGAGAGGAGGGUGGAAUUCCUGGUGUAGCGGUGAAAUGCGUAGAUAUCAGGAGGAACGCCGGUGGCGAAGGCGGCCCUCUGGACGGAUACUGACGCUGAGACGCGACAGCGUGGGGAGCAAACAGG